Bactrocera neohumeralis is the source of this 364-nucleotide long non-coding RNA. RefSeq lists it as uncharacterized. The record is from RefSeq and is a predicted model, not a curated record. The transcript is spliced from 2 exons. NCBI's taxonomy places the organism in Eukaryota, Metazoa, Arthropoda, Insecta, Diptera, Tephritidae.
CGGGCGAUGAGCUGAAAGCGCGCGUACAUAAGAAAAACAAAGAAAGAUUAUUAAAAAAUACUCAUAAAUCGAUAUAUGCUUGAGUAAGAAUAUUAAAUGUGUAUAACUAAUCGCUUAAUCCUUUAACUCAAAACUUCAUACUAAUUUGCGCAAACGGGGAGAAAACCACUAACCAAACUCAAACUCAACUAGAAGGCAGCGAGCGAAUUCAGUGAAACUCAAGGCAAACACAAAAAACUGAAACACGGAGUUAGCGAUUCGAGCAUUUUUUUCAAGUUUUUAUUUUUAUUUUUCAAUCUUUUUCUUGCAACUACUCAAUGCACUGAACAUUUUUAGCUGUUGUUGUAAGAAAAAAAGCUUUUAA